CAGAGCUCUGCAACUUCUCCUUCUCGAGCUCCUGAACCAACAUCUCCAUCACCAAACCCCGACCAUUUCAGAAUUCCCUCAUCCCCCUUCCUUAGUUUCUUCCUUUCACGUUCUUAGCAUCGACAACCCUAGGUGCUACAAACAAGACAGUGAGAAUCUAGGGUUCAACACAGUUGCAGAGAAGACCAAUUUGGGAAGAUUUUGAGUAACAAGGGGAGCAGUGGAAGUAUGGGUCAAGCAUGGAUCGAGAAGUUAUCAGGAAUCUGUGAAGCUGUUGAGCAUGUGGAGCAACUGCUGUGGUGUUGUGGGCUGUGCAGCUGUUGUUGCUGCUGGGAUGUGCAGUAAGCUGGAGAAGAGAGCCCAAAUCAUUCGGCUGUGCAGCAACUAAAAGAGUUAAGCCUAAACCCAUCAGUAAACCCAAUGUUUGGGCUUGUAGUUUUACAUUGAUUAUGGGCUUGUUUUAACUGAAUUAUGGGCUUGUAGUUUUAUUUUAAAAACUGAACACUGGGCUUGAGUAAGCCUGAAAACCUUAAGCCUAAACCCAAUUUGUAGACUGUUUGUGGGCUUGUUUUCCAGCCACAACAACUGGGCUGUCCUUCAAUUGCAUUAGGUUUACACUC
This is a long non-coding RNA of Papaver somniferum (opium poppy), 620 nucleotides long. RefSeq lists it as uncharacterized. NCBI's taxonomy places the organism in Eukaryota, Viridiplantae, Streptophyta, Magnoliopsida, Ranunculales, Papaveraceae. The record is from RefSeq and is a predicted model, not a curated record. The transcript is spliced from 2 exons.